RNAcentral lists this ribosomal RNA (1229 nucleotides) under metagenome. Its description in RNAcentral is "bacterial SSU rRNA". It matches the Rfam family "Bacterial small subunit ribosomal RNA", at positions 8 to 1209 of the family's 1533-position model. The record is from RNAcentral.
AGAGUUUGAUCCUGGCUCAGAAUGAACGCUGGCGGCGUGCCUAACACAUGCAAGUCGAACGAGAAAUCUGGUCUUCGGACUAGAGAGUAAAGUGGCGCACGGGUGAGUAACGCGUGGAUAACCUGCCCUUUAAUCUGGAAUAACUUCGCGAAAGCGUUGCUAAUACCGGAUAUUGUCUUAUUAACAGUGGUUUUUAAGAUGAAAGGUGACCUAUUCUUGAAAGUUGUCGUUAGAGGAGGGGUCCGCGUACCAUUAGCUAGUUGGUGGGGUAAUGGCCUACCAAGGUUACGAUGGUUAGCUGGUCUGAGAGGAUGAUCAGCCACACUGGAACUGAAACACGGUCCAGACUCCUACGGGAGGCAGCAGUGAGGAAUUUUGCGCAAUGGGGGAAACCCUGACGCAGCAACGCCGCGUGAGUGAAGAAGGUUUUCGGAUCGUAAAGCUCUGUCGAGUGGGAAAAAUGUUUUAUCAUUAAUAGUGAUAGAAUUUGAUGGUACCACUAGAGGAAGCACCGGCUAGCUCCGUGCCAGCAGCCGCGGUAAUACGGAGGGUGCAAGCGUUGUUGAAUUACUGGGCGUAAAGAGCGUGUAGGCGGGAUGGUAAGUCAGAUGUGAAAGCCCUGGGCUUAACUCAGGAAGUGCAUUUGAUACUGUCAUUCUUGAGUAUGGGAGAGGAGAGUGGAAUUCCUAGUGUAGAGGUGAAAUUCGUAGAUAUUAGGAGGAACAUCCGUGGCGAAGGCGACUCUCUGGACCAAUACUGACGCUGAGACGCGAAAGCGUGGGGAGCAAACAGGAUUAGAUACCCUGGUAGUCCACGCCGUAAACGAUGAGAACUAGGUGUAGCGGGUAUUGACCCCUGCUGUGCCGGAGUUAACGCAUUAAGUUCUCCGCCUGGGGAGUACGGCCGCAAGGCUAAAACUCAAAGGAAUUGACGGGGACCCGCACAAGCGGUGGAGCAUGUGGUUUAAUUCGACGCAACGCGAAGAACCUUACCUGGAUUUGACAUCCUCUGACCGCCCUGGAAACAGGGUUUUUCCAACUUGUUGGAACAGAGUGACAGGUGCUGCAUGGCUGUCGUCAGCUCGUGUCGUGAGAUGUUGGGUUAAGUCCCGCAACGAGCGCAACCCUUGUUUUUAGUUGCCAUUAUUAAGUUGGGCACUCUAGAGAUACUGCCUCGGUUAACGGGGAGGAAGGUGGGGAUGACGUCAAGUCCUCAUGGCCUUUAUAUCC